GGGCCCGCACAAGCAGCGGAGCAUGUGGUUUAAUUCGAAGCAACGCGAAGAACCUUACCCAGACUUGACAUUAGACGCAUUACUUUGUAAUGAAGGAAACCCUUCGGGGCGUCCAAACAGGUGGUGCAUGGUUGUCGUCAGCUCGUGUCGUGAGAUGUUGGGUUAAGUCCCGCAACGAGCGCAACCCUUGUUGCUAGUUGCCAGCAGGUAAAGCUGGGCACUCUAGUAAGACCGCCGGGGUUAACUCGGAGGAAGGUGGGGAUGACGUCAAAUCAUCAUGCCCCUUAUGUCUGGGGCUACACACGUGCUACAAUGGUGAAAACAAAAAGAUGCAAGACAGUGAUGUGGAGCAAAACUUAUAAAAUUCAUCUCAGUUCGGAUUGCAGGCUGAAACUCGCCUGCAUGAAGUUGGAGUUGCUAGUAAUCGCGAAUCAGAAUGUCGCGGUGAAUACGUUCCCGGGCCUU
Molecule: ribosomal RNA, 465 nt
Filed under: uncultured bacterium
Lineage: Bacteria
Description: bacterial SSU rRNA
Rfam family: Bacterial small subunit ribosomal RNA
Source: RNAcentral